UCGAAAAACAGCAUGGCGAGUUGUCGCUGGCCUUUUGGUCGUGCACGCUCGUCGUUCUUCAUUUCUCCAUCUAUCUGUGCACCUCUUGUGUGGAUCCAUGUCCCUUUGGGGGGACGAUUGGGGACUGCUUCGCAAUGCCCAUUUUUUUUUUGCAGGCUUUCCUUGUGCUGGAUCCUCAUUUUCUUCACAUACCAGUAGAAACAAUAGAGAAGGGUUGGAAAUAUAAAUAUAAAUAUA
This 237-nucleotide unclassified non-coding RNA is filed under the name uncultured Inocybe. Its description in RNAcentral is "sequence contains ITS1". Lineage: Eukaryota; Fungi; Basidiomycota; Agaricomycetes; Agaricales; Cortinariaceae. The record is from RNAcentral.